GUCCAGGGUACUUAAUCUUCUUUCUUCUUCUAAAUUACCCCAUAAGAUAUUCUGCACAGCCAACGUGGGCUUACAAUAAACUGAUUCCCCUUGACACACUGCAUACAUGUAACAUUUGCUUUAUUUUAUUAUCCUGAUCAGCUUUCAAGUCAUUGAAGGAAAAGGUGGAGAAAGACACACGCAGUCACUUCAUUGCAAGGACAGGUACAGAGACUUGCGGCCACCUGAAAAAGAAGCAUUUCUACUUCGUCUGUCACCGGUCUGGAAGUUAUGCUUCACAAGCUACAAGUAAACAAAAGCUGAAGCGGCCUUCAAGUGUCAAGUGUGGAAAAAGAUGUUUUGCGGCAAUGGCUGUGACUGAAGACAACACAGGUGUGUAUGUGGUUUUCCAAUUCAAGCACAGAGGCCACGGCUUUGAACUGGGUCGUGUUUUUCUGUCCAAGUCGGAAAGAGCUGCUAUUGCUGACAAGCUGCGAGAAGGCGUGUCCAUGGAUGCAGU
This 499-nucleotide long non-coding RNA is filed under the name Dermacentor andersoni. Its description in RNAcentral is "uncharacterized LOC126518993". The record is from RNAcentral. Lineage: Eukaryota; Metazoa; Arthropoda; Arachnida; Ixodida; Ixodidae.